This 780-nucleotide ribosomal RNA is filed under the name Staphylococcus sp. RNAcentral describes it as "bacterial SSU rRNA". It matches the Rfam family "Bacterial small subunit ribosomal RNA", at positions 61 to 824 of the family's 1533-position model. The record is from RNAcentral. Lineage: Bacteria; Bacillati; Bacillota; Bacilli; Caryophanales; Staphylococcaceae.
GUCGAGCGACAGAUAAGGAGCUUGCUCCUUUGACGUUAGCGGCGGACGGGUGAGUAACACGUGGGUAACCUACCUAUAAGACUGGAAUAACUCCGGGAAACCGGGGCUAAUGCCGGAUAACAUUUAGAACCGCAUGGUUCUAAAGUGAAAGAUGGUUUUGCUAUCACUUAUAGAUGGACCCGCGCCGUAUUAGCUAGUUGGUAAGGUAACGGCUUACCAAGGCAACGAUACGUAGCCGACCUGAGAGGGUGAUCGGCCACACUGGAACUGAGACACGGUCCAGACUCCUACGGGAGGCAGCAGUAGGGAAUCUUCCGCAAUGGGCGAAAGCCUGACGGAGCAACGCCGCGUGAGUGAUGAAGGUCUUCGGAUCGUAAAACUCUGUUAUUAGGGAAGAACAAAUGUGUAAGUAACUAUGCACGUCUUGACGGUACCUAAUCAGAAAGCCACGGCUAACUACGUGCCAGCAGCCGCGGUAAUACGUAGGUGGCAAGCGUUAUCCGGAAUUAUUGGGCGUAAAGCGCGCGUAGGCGGUUUCUUAAGUCUGAUGUGAAAGCCCACGGCUCAACCGUGGAGGGUCAUUGGAAACUGGGAAACUUGAGUGCAGAAGAGGAAAGUGGAAUUCCAUGUGUAGCGGUGAAAUGCGCAGAGAUAUGGAGGAACACCAGUGGCGAAAGCGACUUUCUGGUCUGUAACUGACGCUGAUGUGCGAAAGCGUGGGGAUCAAACAGGAUUAGAUACCCUGGUUAGUCCACGCCGUAACGAUGAGUGCUAGUGUUA